Molecule: ribosomal RNA, 497 nt
Filed under: uncultured bacterium
Lineage: Bacteria
Description: partial 16S ribosomal RNA
Rfam family: Bacterial small subunit ribosomal RNA
Source: RNAcentral
GACGAACGCUGGCGGCGUGCCUAAUACAUGCAAGUUGAGCGAUGAAGAUUGGUGCUUGCACCAAUUUGAAGAGCAGCGAACGGGUGAGUAACGCGUGGGGAAUCUGCCUUUGGGCGGGGGACAACAUUUGGAAACGAAUGCUAAUACCGCAUAAUAACUUUAAACAUAAGUUUUAAGUUUGAAAGAUGCAAUUGCAUCACUCAAAGAUGAUCCCGCGUUGUAUUAGCUAGUUGGUGAGGUAAAGGCUCACCAAGGCGAUGAUACAUAGCCGACCUGAGAGGGUGAUCGGCCACAUUGGGACUGAGACACGGCCCAAACUCCUACGGGAGGCAGCAGUAGGGAAUCUUCGGCAAUGGACGAAAGUCUGACCGAGCAACGCCGCGUGAGUGAAGAAGGUUGUCGGAUCGUAAAACUCUGUUGGUAGAGAAGAACGUUGGUGAGAGUGGAAAGCUCAUCAAGUGACGGUAACUACCCAGAAAGGGACGGCUAACUACGUG